AUCUAAUCUUCAACGCUCUGAAUCACGCUUUAUUUUCUACUCAAUUGAGAAGCAAUGGCAGAAGGGAUCAUCUCCAACGUAGCAGGGGAACUCAUUACAAAACUGGGUUCUCGACACAUUCGUACGAUUGGCUUAUGGGGAGGUGUCAAAGCUGAACUUAAGAAGCUUGAGAACACUGUUUCAAUGAUUCAAGCUGUGGUUCUUGAUGCUGAGGAGCAGUACUCAAAGAGCAACCAAGUCAAGAUUUGGGUUGAAUCGUUGAAAGAAGCAUUGUACGAUGCAGAAGACUUGUUAGAUGAAUUUUCCGCACAUGCUUUACGGCAACAAGUGAUGAAAGGGUGUGGAAUAGCGAAGGAGGUACGCCUUUUCUUUUCUAGUUCUAAUCAGUUUGCUUAUGGUCUCAAAAUGGCUUUUGAAAUCAAGGCCAUUAGAGAUAGACUAAAGGGUAUUCACGAAAAUAGAUCAAUGUUCUACUUAGAGGAGGGUUGCUUGAAGAAACAUUUAAAAUCUGAAGAAAGGGAGCAAACUCAUUCAUCUGCACCCAAAGUAGUUGUUGGUAGAGAAAAUGAUAAGAAUGAAAUUAUAAAAAUCCUAUUGUCCAACUAUGAAGAGAAUGUGUCAAUUGUUUCUAUUGUUGGUAUUGGAGGAUUAGGAAAGACAACGCUUGCUCAAUUUGUGUACAGUGAUGAGAUAAUAGAGACCCAUUUUGAGCUCAAACUAUGGGUUUCUGUUUCUGAUCAUUUUGAUGUAAGAUUAAUAGUGGCAAAGAUUUUAGAAUCUGUUACUGGUGAGAGACAUUUAGACCUUGAAAUGAAUACUUUGAAAAAUCUUCUUCAUGACAAAAUUAAUGGAAGAAAGUAUUUGCUUGUGUUUGAUGAUAUGUGGAAUGAGAACUGGGAAAGAUGGUUUCACUUGAAGGAAUUGUUGGCUGGUGGUGCUAGAGGAAGUAGAAUACUGGUAACGUCACGCCUAAAAAAUGUUGCAGACAUGAUACAGUCGGAUUCAAUCUAUGAAUUAAAAGGUCUAAAUGAUGUUCAUUCUUGGUCCCUGUUCACAGAUAUGGCAUUUAAACAGGGGCAAGUUCCAAGCUCAAGCCAUGAGGGAAUUGGAAAGGAGAUUAUGGCAAAGUGUGCUGGAGUUCCUUUAGCCAUAAGAGUAAUAGGCCGUUUGUUGUAUUUUAAAAAUACAAUAUCUGAGUGGCAGUCCUUUAAAGAUGAAGAACUCAUAAACAUAGAUCACAAAGAGGAUGGUAUUUUACCAAAUCUUAAGUUGAGUUAUGAUCAUCUCCAUUCACAUUUGAAACGUUGUUUUGCCUAUUGUAGCUUAUUUCCAAAGGGCUAUAUAAUCAAUGUAGAAUCAUUGAUAUAUCUUUGGAUGGCUCAAGGAUAUAUCAAAUCAUCAGAUUCAAGACGAUGUCUUGAAGAUAUAGGUUUUGAAUAUUUUACAGACCUUCUUUGGAGGUCAUUCUUUCAAGUGCAAGAGGUGGAUGUAUUUGGUGUAACAAGUUGUAAAAUGCAUGAUCUAAUGCAUGAUCUUGCUGCAUUAGUGGCUGGAGGAGAGAGUACACUUUUAAAUUCGAAAGCAGAAUGUAUUGAUGAAAGAGUUCGACAUGUAUUUUUUGUUGAUGAAUUAGACUCAUGGGGGCAUGUGUCUUCUUCCUCGCUUAAUGCAAGGAAGGUACGAACUUUUGCUGCGCCAAUUUGUAAAAGUGAGGAAGAUCACUGCCAUGUAAUUUUUUCUAAUUUGAAACGUUUGAGAGUGCUAAACUUGCAUAAUUCUGGAGUUGAGACAAUUCCACGUAGUAUUGCCAAAUUGAAGCACAUAAGAUAUCUUGAUCUUUCUCAUAACAAGGGCAUUGAAUUGCUUCCUGAUUCCAUAACUAAACUCCAAACCCUGCAAGUGCUCAAACUGACCAAGUGUGAAAGGCUUAGGCAGUUGCCAAAACGUAUCAAAAAAUUGGUCAGUCUGAGGCUUCUGAACAUAGGGGGUUGUGAUGGUUUGACUCACAUGCCUCGGGGACUUAGAAAACUGACAUCUCUCCAGAAUUUGUCAACUUUCAUAGUGGCAAAAGAUAAUGGCAUCUCCAAGCAUAGUGGUGGGCUUGGUGAGUUACAUGACUUGGAGAACUUGAGAGGAAGGCUGGAAAUCUUAAAUCUGCUGUAUGUAAAAAAUCCAGCAUCUGAAUUUGAG
This 2190-nucleotide unclassified non-coding RNA is filed under the name Hevea brasiliensis (rubber tree). Lineage: Eukaryota; Viridiplantae; Streptophyta; Magnoliopsida; Malpighiales; Euphorbiaceae. The record is from RNAcentral.